This 2788-nucleotide long non-coding RNA is filed under the name Homo sapiens (human). Its description in RNAcentral is "non-protein coding lnc-LMNB1-3:4". Lineage: Eukaryota; Metazoa; Chordata; Mammalia; Primates; Hominidae. The record is from RNAcentral.
GGUUAUUGCGAAGUGCCGUGGCUGCCGGCGGGCGCUGCGGGACUCUCUGCAAUGGGACCCGAGCAGCUCUAGAGGGAGGCGGCGGCCCCAGAAGGCCGUUGGCUGAGAGAGACCAGGAGCCCUCGGAGCCGCCGCGCGCAUAGCGCUGUGGAGCAAGAAGCCAACCGCAGCGCGGGUCGACACGCCAGUAUCUGGCACCGGCAGGAGGCGCGGAACUUAGCUGCCCCAUCGGAACCCCGCCCGGAGGAAGCUGAGGGCCGAGAAAGGAUGAAUUCCGGACCGGGUCGCCCAGCCACAAGUGGAAACCUGGGCUCUCUGGAAAACGUUCUGAUCUCGAUCUGGCUAUCUCUGAAACAAAACUCCAGCCCCGCAAACCUCCCAAAGUUCAGUACACGUCCCCGUCCUCACCCCUGCCCUCCGGGCCACCUGCAGCGGGGGACUUACCGGCGCCUCGGGUCUCCUCCUCCCGACCCAGCGCGUCGCGGACACAGCUGGCGGCCAACAGGAGGCUUGGGCGCUCGACGGCGCCGGAACCUGUGAGACCGUCGCUCUGGGCGGGCUGCCGUGCGGGGUGGCAUCCUCUGCGGUGACUUCUGCUGUCUUUUGGGUCCGCCAGGAUUCCAAAAUCCCAGGCGGGUCGCUAGAAUUAUCCAUCUUCGUGGACAGGAAGCCCCAGAACGAACCACAUCUGUCCCACUCUGCUUCCGCCCUCCUUCCCCUUCGCAAGCUCCUGGCUGGGAUGGAGACAUCGGACGAGCUCGGAGAUCCCGACCUCUCAGGGGUCACUCGCAGCCGAACAGCCUGGAAUAUGGCCUUGUGGGCCCUUCCCGCCCAACCCCCUAGGACCCCACUGCUCAUCUUGUCAACCAGUUUCUGAGCCCCUACCCUGGCUGCAGCACGUGCUCGCACAGGCGCGCUGAGCUACUAACAUAGAAUCAAAAGCAGGGAGUUGGGUGUUCUUGCUUUCCCGCUGAAACCUAGAAUGUAAACAAGCCCUAGACCGUCAGCUGUGGGUGGGUAGGGGCCUCUCCCUGCCUAGAACUGCUCUUGCCAUGGGUAGGCACCUAACCCGUAUUAGUAAGAAUGAAGGAAUGCAUGCUCAUAACAAGAAAGGGGUCAACCUGCUGCCCUGAUACUCACCUUCACCACUUACGUCUUGCUUCCAGCGCAAGCCCACUUCAGACCAUUGCCUCAUUCAGGUCCCAGAAGUCCUAAGGGUUUUAGUCUCUCAGUAUGGGCAAUUAUUCACAUGUAAGGGAGCUGCAAGGUGUUAUUUCAAUGCCAUCUGGCCUCUAUAAGGUCUUGCAUCAUAGCUGACCUCUCAUGAGAAGGUUCUGAUGAGGUCACCAGGGAGAAGGAAUGUAAAGGGCUGGUGGCUGAAAAGGAGUGAAAUGGCCCCUCUUAGGUGAGCUCUGGCCUGGUUUGAGUUUCAAUUCUGUCUCCUCAGCUCCAUUUCUCAAUGGGAAAAGGUCCAUAGGAAGGUUGUCAGAAGGGCAGGAGACUAGGGCAGGGAUAGCCCUUUGCAGACCCUGAAAAAUUGCUCAGUAAUGCAAACAUUGUCCAUAUUUAAGUUCUUUCUUUUCUUUUCUUUUUUUUUUGAGGCAGAGUCUCACUCUGUCGCCCAGGCUGGAGUGCUAUGGCUUGGCUCACUGCAAGCUCCGCCUCCUGGGUUCACGCCAUUCUCCUGCCUCAGCCUCCCAAGUAGCUGGGACUACAGGCGCCCGCCACUACGCCCGGCUAAUUUUUCGUAUUUUCAGUAGAGACGGGGUUUCACCGUGUUAAUCAGGAUGGUCUCGAUCUCCUGACCUUGUGAUCCGCCCGCCUCGGCCUCCCAAAGUGCUGGGAUUAGAGGCGUGAGCCACUGCGCCCAGCCUUAAGUUCUUUAUUUUCUAUCUUGUGGACCAAAGGACUGCUACAGGCAAGGAAGACCAUCUGACUCAAUUCCAGAGGUUCCUUAGCAUGCUGCUGACUGGCCUAGGAGAAUGGCCUUUGCCCAUAAAGUAUUAGAUGUAGACCACAUGAAUGGAAUAUUCACCAGGUUUCUGCCCAGGUCUGGAUUGGGCAAGGACAUGGCUGGAGGUGCCUUACAGGAGAGAAGGCCAAAGAGAGAGAAGACUUGACUCCCAACCUGAUUCCAGCAGAACUCCACUUUGAUGUGUUUUUAAAAUUGUGCUCUUCUGUUUGCUUUCACGGAGGCUGCCAUGAAACGUCAUCUUUGACUAGAAUUAUCAGGAAAUGCUCAUGGAAGAAAUAUACUUCCUUGGAUUUUUUUUCCUACCACACUUCAGGAUAUAACUAGAGAAAACAUUUGCCAACAGUGCUUAUCAUAUUAGUACCCUGUGAAGGUUUUCAUAGAUGCUGAUUAUUAUUUUUAAAAUCAUUUCGGGAAUAGGAGCCAAACACUAGGUCAUGACUGUACUUACUUUAGUAUUUACAUUAAGUGAUGAAAAAUGGAAAUAAAGGAAAUGUCCUGUCAUGAAACAAGUUAGAAUUAGGUGACUUUCAUGUCCUGAUUUCCAAGGUUUUCUGUUUGUUUCAGACAGACAAGAUCAUCCAUGGGUUCUUGGACAAGUAAUAGGUCUCAUUUUCCCUUGUAGACCAGAAGACAUGGAAAAGACAGCAUAUUCGGACUAUAUUCAUAUUUCCAUACCAUCUUUUGUUGUAAUUGAUUUUCAACAAGAGCCCCUAACAAUCUCUUGAGUUUGGGCCAUCCCCAUAUUCUACAAGGGAAAAUGAGAUCUCUUACUACUCCAAUAACCCAUGCUUACACUAUCUGUAUGGAACAAAC